CUAAUAAAUAACACUUUAUGGUGUCAUUUAUAUUUAAUCAGUUCAAAGCUAAUUCGACAAUGAAUCAUCAAUGGUCCGAUCGAAAAAGGAAUUUUCUGGUGCGUGCUACGGCUGAAUCGACAUUACCUACAACUCAACUUUCGAAAGCAUGAACCUUAAAAAAAUUCAUCAGGAACUGGUACUUGCGACGAGCCUUACUGAAUUUCAUGAAAUGAAGUGAUCACACCUACUUACCUGCAACAUAGUUAGAUCAUCCUCCAAGCGUUAAGAAAAUAUUUUUCCUCUCUUUUAAGAAUUCAGGGCGAGUAAAGCCUGCUCAACAAAAGUUUGUGUAAGAUUGUUCCAUUCAAAAUCACCUAAGAAUCAUUUCAAUGGUAAAGUUGCCAACGAUUCCUAUUGAAAGUCGUUUGGUUCACUGAAUUUUUCAGGUACCGAAAGAUGAAAGGAUCUUGAAAAGUCAUAGAAUUACAUCCCACCAUGAAAACAAGUUGGGAAAAACAGUUCAGAUUGACCAGGGAUGACAUUUGUAACAUUUACUUCUCAAACCAAUCUAAUGGCCAAACAUAGGUAUCAUUUGCAAAA
This is a non-coding RNA of Bemisia tabaci, 582 nucleotides long. The record is from RefSeq and is a predicted model, not a curated record. Lineage: Eukaryota; Metazoa; Arthropoda; Insecta; Hemiptera; Aleyrodidae.